RNAcentral lists this ribosomal RNA (497 nucleotides) under uncultured bacterium. RNAcentral's name for it is "partial 16S ribosomal RNA". It matches the Rfam family "Bacterial small subunit ribosomal RNA", at positions 28 to 507 of the family's 1533-position model. The record is from RNAcentral.
GAUGAACGCUGGCGGCGUGCCUAAUACAUGCAAGUCGAGCGAACAGACGAGGAGCUUGCUCCUCUGACGUUAGCGGCGGACGGGUGAGUAACACGUGGAUAACCUACCUAUAAGACUGGGAUAACUUCGGGAAACCGGAGCUAAUACCGGAUAAUAUAUUGAACCGCAUGGUUCAAUAGUGAAAGACGGUUUUGCUGUCACUUAUAGAUGGAUCCGCGCCGCAUUAGCUAGUUGGUAAGGUAACGGCUUACCAAGGCAACGAUGCGUAGCCGACCUGAGAGGGUGAUCGGCCACACUGGAACUGAGACACGGUCCAGACUCCUACGGGAGGCAGCAGUAGGGAACCUUCCGCAAUGGGCGAAAGCCUGACGGAGCAACGCCGCGUGAGUGAUGAAGGUCUUCGGAUCGUAAAACUCUGUUAUUAGGGAAGAACAAAUGUGUAAGUAACUAUGAACGUCUUGACGGUACCUAAUCAGAAAGCCACGGCUAACUACGUG